GCCAACGUAGCUCAGUUGGUAGAGCAGCUCACUCGUAAUGAGCAGGUCGCCGGUUCGAGUCCGGCCGUUGGCU
This 73-nucleotide transfer RNA is filed under the name Bacteroidota bacterium. RNAcentral describes it as "Bacteroidetes bacterium tRNA-Thr". It matches the Rfam family "tRNA". Rfam says of the family: Transfer RNA (tRNA) molecules are approximately 80 nucleotides in length. Their secondary structure includes four short double-helical elements and three loops (D, anti-codon, and T loops). RNAcentral also lists the same sequence under 1 other name. The record is from RNAcentral. Lineage: Bacteria; Pseudomonadati; Bacteroidota.